UACGGAGGACCCAAGCAUUAUCCGGAAUUACUGGGCGUAAAGAGUUGCGUAGGUGGCAUAGUAAGCGAAAUGUGAAAGCGUACAGCUCAACUGUAUAGACAUGUUUCGAACUGCUAAGCUUGAGGACGAGAGAGGUAGAUGGAAUUACUAGUGUAGGAGUGAAAUCCGUAGAUAUUAGUAGGAACACCGAUGGCGUAGGCAGUCUACUGGCUCGUUUCUGACACUAAGGCACGAAAGCGUGGGGAGCAAACGGG
Molecule: ribosomal RNA, 254 nt
Filed under: uncultured bacterium
Lineage: Bacteria
Description: partial 16S ribosomal RNA
Rfam family: Bacterial small subunit ribosomal RNA
Source: RNAcentral